Molecule: unclassified non-coding RNA, 406 nt
Filed under: soil metagenome
Description: partial contains 5.8S ribosomal RNA, internal transcribed spacer 2, and large subunit ribosomal RNA
Rfam family: 5.8S ribosomal RNA (bases 1-121)
Source: RNAcentral
GAUGAAGAACGUAGCGAAAUGCGAUAAGUAAUGUGAAUUGCAGAAUUCAGUGAAUCAUCGAAUCUUUGAACGCACCUUGCGCCCUUUGGCCAUUCCGAAGGGCAUGCCUGUUUGAGUAUCAUGAACACCUCAACUCUUCAUGGUUUUCCGUGAUGAGCUUGGACUUUGGGGGUCUUGCUGGCCUAUGGUCAGCUCCUCUAGAAUAAAUCAGCUUGCCAGUGUUUGGUGGGUAUCACAGGUGUGAUAACUAUCUACGCUUGUGGUUUUCCACCAGGUAACCUUCAGCAGUGGAGGUUCGCUGGAGCUCACAGAUGUGUCUCUCCUCAGUGAGGACAGCUCUUUGAAUGUUUGAUCUCAAAUCAGGUAGGACUACCCGCUGAACUUAAGCAUAUCAAUAAGCGGAGGA